Long non-coding RNA from Peromyscus eremicus (cactus mouse), 863 nucleotides. RefSeq lists it as uncharacterized. NCBI's taxonomy places the organism in Eukaryota, Metazoa, Chordata, Mammalia, Rodentia, Cricetidae. The transcript is spliced from 3 exons. The record is from RefSeq and is a predicted model, not a curated record.
AGAGCUUUACAGCAGCUAAAUAUGGUAAUUUCACGCUCAGCAUGAAGUGAAGUUUUUCGGUAGAACAAACCAAAAGUACUACUGUAAUAGAAACGUUUGUCUGAAUUGAAGCACUUAGGAGAGCUAUUAUGAGUUUGGGUGAAGGGACAGUCUCUAGUUAAAAACCGUUUACUGCUGACAGGACAUCUCUGCCGCUUCAGGAACAGCCAGAGACCUUGGCAACUUUGGGGUGUGGCUUCGUCCCGAGAAUGUUACAGUCCCCUAGCAACAAGUAUCACAAUUCUAUUAUGACAACACUCACUAAAUCCCAGUGUUGUUAUAGCAAAGCUGACUAUAAACUCUAAACUUUAGAAAUGAUGUACGUACUUCCUGUCUAGUUAAGAGACUCUUUCUAAUAGAGAUAGUGAUAAUAAUUAAGAGUAAGAAGUAGAAAAAGAUGAAAAGAUAUAGAGGAGAAUUGAGAGAACAGGAAGUCAGAGAGGGAUAGAUGCCAGCCUGCCGUCCAGGGAACAUCAUGUAAAGGCAACAGGACAGAUUAACAGAUUUUACAUCAUAUGAAGUCAACAAACAAAAGAUGGGUUAGGAAUUCUACAAGCAAAAUGUUCUCACCCACAAAGACCAGGUUGUUGUAAUUCUCCAACAUCACAUCAACGUACAAAGACUGCUGAGCAAAGUCCAGGCAUUCCCAUUCCUCUUGGGGGAAGUCCACAGCUACAUCCCUGAAUGUCAACAGACACUGAAACAAAGAAGUAUAGUUUGACCAUUUGUUACCUGGAUGUGCUUUCCUAGAUAUAAGGAGAUGGAAUGUAGGUGAGCUAAGGUAAUUACUCAAAAAGAAGAUUUCCAAUACAGUCAUUCUCUCA